RNAcentral lists this ribosomal RNA (468 nucleotides) under uncultured bacterium. RNAcentral describes it as "partial 16S ribosomal RNA". It matches the Rfam family "Bacterial small subunit ribosomal RNA", at positions 28 to 507 of the family's 1533-position model. The record is from RNAcentral.
GACGAACGCUGGCGGCGUGCUUAACACAUGCAAGUCGAACGGAAAGGCCCUGCUUUUGUGGGGUGCUCGAGUGGCGAACGGGUGAGUAACACGUGAGUAACCUGCCCUUGACUUUGGGAUAACUUCAGGAAACUGGGGCUAAUACCGGAUAGGAGCUCCUGCUGCAUGGUGGGGGUUGGAAAGUUUCGGCGGUUGGGGAUGGACUCGCGGCUUAUCAGCUUGUUGGUGGGGUAGUGGCUUACCAAGGCUUUGACGGGUAGCCGGCCUGAGAGGGUGACCGGCCACAUUGGGACUGAGAUACGGCCCAGCCUCCUACGGGAGGCAGCGGUGGGGAAUAUUGCACAAUGGGCGGAAGCCUGAUGCAGCAACGCCGCGUGCGGGAUGCCGGCCUUCGGGUUGUAAACCGCUUUCGCCGGUGACGAACCGUGAGUGACGGUAAUGGGUAAAGAAGCACCGGCUAACUACGUG